ACAUUCACCUGGCAGUCAUCGCCCUUGUGGGAGGCCUACAAGCCGUAGGAAGAUGCCCUGAGCCAGGAUGCAACUCCCCAGAAGCUGAGCAGAGCACACAGAUCUGGUCAAGCGGUCUGUGGGAGAUCAUUUUGACAGGAGUCCUCGUCUCUCUUGAGGUCUGCUGCCACCCGUUAUAUGAAAAAGGUCAGAAGAUGUUCCCAUGACACAUACUCUCUGAUAGUCAUCUGUGACGGGCUGGACAUCACUACUGCUGGUCAUCUGUGAUGGGCCGGACAUCACUAUUGCUUUGUGACUUGAAGCAUUCGAUGAAACCAUAAUAUUUACUGCUGCACAUUUGCUCACUGUUGGUGUAAUAUAUUUCGAAGCAGCAAUCCUGCUCUGAUGGCAAGGAGAAGGGAGACACCAGGAAGGGAACGUGUCAAGGUUUAUUCGGUGUGUCAGCUAAAAAGGGCAACAAGCAACUCACUGGUUUCUAGAAUACCCUUGUGAGUGAAGUGAAUUACACUGAAACUUGUUUUCAAAUAAAGAAAUUGCUACUUGAGAAAGCAACCUCAUGGCACUGGGGAUAAAGACUAACAAAUAAUAAUAAUAGUCAUGAUGACAGCCAUGACAAGAACAGCCAGGUGGUUGUGCUUACUUGCUCCCAGGUGUCUUACUGCAGUGGCCAUGCUAUCUCUUCUGGGCAUUCACCAUUGUCAAGGACAAUGACCCCCGUGAGAGAAGGGCAUCUCUCUCUUCCCAUUCAGCCCUUUUCCUCAGCCUGAAGACUGUGGACAAAUAAACAAUUAGAACUUUUGACUUCAGUAGCAACUGGCCUGAAACUAAAAAUAUUUCAUACUUGGCGACUGGUGUCCAUCAGACUGUGGAAGACAAAGAGAUGCAUCCACUAUUUACCAUUCUACCCCCAGCCCAGAGACAGUCCCUGGAAUAAACCCAGUGGAUCCCAGCCUUCCCUCCUGUCGCAAAAAGGAAUAAAAUUAAAUUGGAAAGAAGGA
Macaca mulatta (Rhesus monkey) is the source of this 998-nucleotide non-coding RNA. Lineage: Eukaryota; Metazoa; Chordata; Mammalia; Primates; Cercopithecidae. The record is from RefSeq and is a predicted model, not a curated record.